UACGUAGGGGGCAAGCGUUGUCCGGAUUUAUUGGGCGUAAAGAGCGUGUAGGCGGUUUGGUAGGUCCGCUGUGAAAACUCGAGGCUCAACCUCGAGACGCCGGUGGAAACCAUCAGACUAGAGUCCGGAAGAGGAGAGUGGAAUUCCUGGUGUAGCGGUGAAAUGCGCAGAUAUCAGGAAGAACACCCGUGGCUAAGGCGGCUCUCUAGUACGGUACUGACGCUGAGACGCGAAAGUGUGGGGAGCGAACAGG
RNAcentral lists this ribosomal RNA (253 nucleotides) under uncultured bacterium. RNAcentral's name for it is "partial 16S ribosomal RNA". It matches the Rfam family "Bacterial small subunit ribosomal RNA", at positions 524 to 776 of the family's 1533-position model. The record is from RNAcentral.